RNAcentral lists this ribosomal RNA (318 nucleotides) under Triticum aestivum (bread wheat). RNAcentral's name for it is "partial small subunit ribosomal RNA". Lineage: Eukaryota; Viridiplantae; Streptophyta; Magnoliopsida; Poales; Poaceae. The record is from RNAcentral.
GCACGGAAGGCGUACGCUGAGGCUUAUCAUGAUUGCAUUUCCUUCGACACGACAUACAUGACAAACAUGUACAACAUGCCUUUUGCACCGUUCAUUGGUAUCAACCGGCACGGGCAGUCAUUCAUGUUGGGGUGUGGAUUUGUUAGGCAAGAAUUGGAGACGGGCUUUGAUUGGUUGUUUGGGAGUUUCCUUGAAGCAAUGCAUGGACUGGCCCCUAACAACAUCAUAACUGACCAAGACAUUGCGAUGGCUGAAUCUAUUAAGAACAUCUUCCCUACAAGUGUGCAUCAGCGUUGUCAUUGGCACAUCAUGAAGAAA